RNAcentral lists this transfer RNA (75 nucleotides) under Flavobacteriaceae bacterium. Its description in RNAcentral is "tRNA-Val". It matches the Rfam family "tRNA". Rfam says of the family: Transfer RNA (tRNA) molecules are approximately 80 nucleotides in length. Their secondary structure includes four short double-helical elements and three loops (D, anti-codon, and T loops). The record is from RNAcentral. Lineage: Bacteria; Pseudomonadati; Bacteroidota; Flavobacteriia; Flavobacteriales; Flavobacteriaceae.
GGGUACUUAGCUCAGUUGGUUCAGAGCGCUUGGUUUACACCCAAGAGGUCAGGGGUUCGAAUCCCUUAGUACCCA